UACGAAGGGGGCUAGCGUUGUUCGGAAUUACUGGGCGUAAAGGGCGCGUAGGCGGUGUGUCAAGUCAGGCGUGAAAGCCCCGGGCUCAACCUGGGAACCGCGCUUGAGACUGGCACGCUAGAGUUCGGGAGAGGAUGGUGGAAUUCCCAGUGUAGAGGUGAAAUUCGUAGAUAUUGGGAAGAACACCAGUGGCGAAGGCGACACACUGGCCCGUUACUGACGCUGAGGCGCGAAAGCGUGGGGAGCAAACAGG
This 253-nucleotide ribosomal RNA is filed under the name uncultured bacterium. RNAcentral describes it as "partial 16S ribosomal RNA". It matches the Rfam family "Bacterial small subunit ribosomal RNA", at positions 524 to 776 of the family's 1533-position model. The record is from RNAcentral.